Molecule: ribosomal RNA, 451 nt
Filed under: uncultured bacterium
Lineage: Bacteria
Description: bacterial SSU rRNA
Rfam family: Bacterial small subunit ribosomal RNA
Source: RNAcentral
GAUGAACGCUGGCGGCGUGCUUAACACAUGCAAGUCGAACGAAGCACUUUAUUUGAUUUCUUCGGAAUGAAGAUUUUGUGACUGAGUGGCGGACGGGUGAGUAACGCGUGGGUAACCUGCCUCAUACAGGGGGAUAACAGUUGGAAACGACUGCUAAUACCGCAUAAGCGCACAGGGUCGCAUGACCUGGUGUGAAAAACUCCGGUGGUAUGAGAUGGACCCGCGUCUGAUUAGCCAGUUGGUGGGGUAACGGCCUACCAAAGCGACGAUCAGUAGCCGACCUGAGAGGGUGACCGGCCACAUUGGGACUGAGACACGGCCCAAACUCCUACGGGAGGCAGCAGUGGGGAAUAUUGCACAAUGGGGGAAACCCUGAUGCAGCGACGCCGCGUGAGCGAAGAAGUAUUUCGGUAUGUAAAGCUCUAUCAGCAGGGAAGAAGAAAUGACGGUA